This 465-nucleotide ribosomal RNA is filed under the name Vreelandella stevensii. RNAcentral describes it as "partial 16S ribosomal RNA". It matches the Rfam family "Bacterial small subunit ribosomal RNA", at positions 338 to 795 of the family's 1533-position model. Lineage: Bacteria; Pseudomonadati; Pseudomonadota; Gammaproteobacteria; Oceanospirillales; Halomonadaceae. The record is from RNAcentral.
CCUACGGGGGGCAGCAGUGGGGAAUAUUGGACAAUGGGGGCAACCCUGAUCCAGCCAUGCCGCGUGUGUGAAGAAGGCCCUCGGGUUGUAAAGCACUUUCAGUGAGGAAGAACGCCUGGUGGUUAAUACCCAUCAGGAAAGACAUCACUCACAGAAGAAGCACCGGCUAACUCCGUGCCAGCAGCCGCGGUAAUACGGAGGGUGCGAGCGUUAAUCGGAAUUACUGGGCGUAAAGCGCGCGUAGGUGGCUUGAUAAGCCGGUUGUGCAAGCCCCGGGCUCAACCUGGGAACGGCAUCCGGAACUGUCAAGCUAGAGUGCAGGAGAGGAAGGUAGAAUUCCCGGUGUAGCGGUGAAAUGCGUAGAGAUCGGGAGGAAUACCAGUGGCGAAGGCGGCCUUCUGGACUGACACUGACACUGAGGUGCGAAAGCGUGGGUAGCAAACAGGAUUAGAUACCCCAGUAGUC